RNAcentral lists this long non-coding RNA (2286 nucleotides) under Marmota monax (woodchuck). Lineage: Eukaryota; Metazoa; Chordata; Mammalia; Rodentia; Sciuridae. The record is from RNAcentral.
UGGGAUUCCUGGCCCCUUGGAACGCAGGCUGGGUCAUAUCAACCUGCAGACACCAUGAGCCUGGAAGGACCACCUUGCAGGAGGGCCAGGGAGGGAGGCCAGCUGCAGAGCAGCCCUGCUGUGGCCCCUGGAGUCUGGAUGAGUCCUGCUGUAGGAGCCUGGUGUCACAGGGCGCUCCUCCUCCUGAGCAGAGCCCAGCAUGCCUGUCCCCGCUGGAAAGGGAAGCGUCUGACUCUGCAGGCAGGUUUGGUGGUCCAGGGACAAGCCAGGGGUGAGUGGCAGGAUGCCCACAUGGGCACAGGCAUCAGGCAAGGGGGCAGCUCCUCCUGGGCAGCACACGCCCACCUCGUCCACCUGGCUGCCAGCUGUGAGCGGUGGAGGACGCUCUGGAGCGUGUCUGCUCAGCUUUCUCUGAUAAGCGGAGGUUGCAGAGGUGGAGGUUGGAGAGCGGAGGGUGGAGUCCUCACUGCAGGGGCUGAGGACUGAGCUUACGGCAUCAUGUUCCCAGGAGGGCAGGAGAGCAGGGCAGCCCUGCCGACGGGUCUGGGCUUCUUGGAUCAGGGACCUGGGUCCCAGCACGGCAGGAAUGCUCCACUGUGGCGGGAGGGCCAUUUGGGCUGGGUGGCUCUGGGUGGGGAGAGCCUGUCCUCUGCCUAUGGGUGUGCAGGAGUGUCCCUGCUUGGGAGGGACAACGCCCUCCCCCACACCCUGACCUCUAGAUACUGCUGCAUGACCUCCCAGCAGUCUCUGCCAGGUGAGGACCCGCGUGGGGCUGGGGCCUGCAGAUGGCCCUUCUGUUCACACUGAACCCUACACCUGGUGAUAGGCAGCCAGGGGCUAUAGGGAGCAGGGCGCUGGGGUUCAUUCCUGCCGGGUGGGAAGCAGCAGAAGCAGGGCGUGGCCCUGACGGAGCCGGCUGAGUCCAUCCUGAAGGUAUGAAGCAUGAGGUUUUCCAGGGAGGGGACACGGCUGGCGUUCAGAUAAUCCUCCAUCGCCAUCGGCUGAGGCAUAGGCCUCUGUGUUGAGUCCUACGUCUCCUUCCCACCCAGGGGGAGGUGAGGGCCACCCCCAGGACUGAGAGCGUGCUCAGGGCCCAGGCCCGGGAAAGAGGACGUGUGGCCGAUCUGCCUUCACCAAGGCUGAGGGAGGACCCCUGCUGCUGCUCACAGUGGCUACCACAGACUCCUUCGCUUGGGGCUGCGUCUGAGCGUUCCAGGAGCGAGCUGAGGUAGCCUUACCUCUUUUCCCUCUAUUAGCCAGAGCCGUCCCUCAGGGUACCUCCUGGGCUGUCCAGGGCCCUCUCAGUGGGCAGAUGGCCGGCCAGCAGAGAUGGGUGUCCAGACACCAUGGAGCACCAUGGAGAGACAUAUCUCAGGCCACGGGAAGAGUGGACAUGGGCAACUGUGCUGGCCACCUCAGGCCAGCCAGGCAGGACCCUCCCCAUCUCUCCCACCACCUCGGGAAGGUGGUUGGCCCGGGCAAGGAGGAUCAGCCUCCACAGCGGGCAAGAGUGAAGCCGACAGUCCCUCAAGGGACUCCCACCACAUCCCAACGUCGCACUCGAGAAGAAACCUCAACAGAGUCAAGGCCAGCUGCAUCCCAGUCGGGAGUCCCCAGGACAGUGCCCUGGCCCAGCAGUCGGAGGAGGCCCUUACCAACUGUGGACAGGCAGGGCCCCCAGGGGCAGCGAGGGCUUCCAGACUCCAGGACACCGUGUGGGUAUGUGGGUGACAGCCAGCAACCCCACGGGACCAGGGGUUGGGGGAACCCGCAGAGGCCGGGAGCCAGAGGAGCUUCUCUGUUUCCUCCACUUGAAAGCUAAGAGGAGGGAAGUUCCCAUUUUUCCAUUUGUCUGUUGGAGGGGGAGCCCCUUUCUCCCAAGACCGUGGUGAAGUACACAUGAAUCGUGGACACCGACACUCAGUGAAGGGCUCGAUGACUCUUCUGCAUGGACUUUAUCCUUGAUUCUGAUUAAGGGUCUUCAUCCUCGGUGACGGCAGGAGCCCUGUGAGUGUGGGGCUGCAGCCCAGCAUCGCGCCUAGCACCUCUCUGGGGGCACGGUCCUGGGAAGCAGGCAACAAUUCCGUGUGAGAGACACCCCCAGCGGCGAGCGUCUGUCCUUGGGAGCCUUUGGAAACCACGAGUUGUGUAAGUGUCAAGAAAAUAGUAUCCCAUCACAUUAAAAUUAUGGCGAUUUUCUUUGCAUAAAAAUGUAAGAAUUCAAUUUUCCUAUAGAAAAAGGGGCCUGAUGUUCUUUCUUUCCUGUGGGACCCACGUGGAGUUGGG